RNAcentral lists this ribosomal RNA (496 nucleotides) under uncultured bacterium. Its description in RNAcentral is "partial 16S ribosomal RNA". It matches the Rfam family "Bacterial small subunit ribosomal RNA", at positions 29 to 507 of the family's 1533-position model. The record is from RNAcentral.
AUGCACGCUGGCGGCGUGCCUCAUCCCUGCCAGUCGAGCGCACAGACGAGGAGCUUGCUCCUCUGACGUUAGCGGCGGACGGGUGAGUAACACGUGGAUAACCUACCUAUAAGACUGGGAUAACUUCGGGAAACCGGAGCUAAUACCGGAUAAUAUAUUGAACCGCAUGGUUCAAUAGUGAAAGACGGUUUUGCUGUCACUUAUAGAUGGAUCCGCGCCACAUUAGCUAGUUGGUAAGGUAACGGCUUACCAAGGCGACGAUGCGUAGCCGACCUGAGAGGGUGAUCGGCCACACUGGAACUGAGACACGGUCCAGACUCCUACGGGAGGCAGCAGUAGGGAAUCUUCCGCAAUGGGCGAAAGCCUGACGGAGCAACGCCGCGUGAGUGAUGAAGGUCUUCGGAUCGUAAAACUCUGUUAUUAGGGAAGAACAAAUGUGUAAGUAACUAUGCACGUCUUGACGGUACCUAAUCAGAAAGCCACGGCUAACUACGUG